GUGGGGAAUCUUGCGCAAUGGGCGAAAGCCUGACGCAGCCAUGCCGCGUGAAUGAUGAAGGUCUUAGGAUUGUAAAAUUCUUUCACCGGGGACGAUAAUGACGGUACCCGGAGAAGAAGCUCCGGCUAACUUCGUGCCAGCAGCCGCGGUAAUACGAAGGGGGCUAGCGUUGCUCGGAAUUACUGGGCGUAAAGGGCGCGUAGGUGGACAGCUUAGUCAGAGGUGAAAGCCCAGGGCUCAACCUUGUAAUUGCCUUUGAUACUGGCUGUCUUGAGUUUGGGAGAGGUGAGUGGAACUCCGAGUGUAGAGGUGAAAUUCGUAGAUAUUCGGAAGAACACCAGUGGCGAAGGCGACUCACUGGCCCAAUACUGACGCUGAGGCGCGAAAGCGUGGGGAGCAAACAGGAUUAGAAACCCCAGUAGUCC
This 425-nucleotide ribosomal RNA is filed under the name uncultured bacterium. RNAcentral describes it as "partial 16S ribosomal RNA". It matches the Rfam family "Bacterial small subunit ribosomal RNA", at positions 354 to 796 of the family's 1533-position model. The record is from RNAcentral.